AGGUCCUGCGUUGUAUCUUCCCAAGUGGCGUGGAUGUGAGGAGACACGACAUUUCACCUGAUGUUCCAUGGGAGACCCUACUGGUGAUGUGGACCUGACCCUCCGCCAUGUAGCAGACAACCCCCUCAGGUCCUGCGUUGUAUCUUCCCAAGUGGCGUGGAUGUGAGGAGACACGACAUUUCACCUGAUGUUCCAUGGGAGACCCUACUGGUGAUGUGGACCUGACCCUCCGCCAUGUAGCAGACAACCCCCUCAGGUCCUGCGGUGUAUCUUCCCAAGUGGCGUGGAUGUGAAGAGACAGAUCCCCUGAUGUUCCCUGGGCAAUCUACUUACAUACAAUUCAACUGCAUUACAAAUUUUAAUAAAAACCACAGGAAACUUCUAUUUUUAAAAGUUUAUUGAAGAAAAAUUUUU
Molecule: long non-coding RNA, 414 nt
Organism: Pseudophryne corroboree (corroboree frog)
Lineage: Eukaryota; Metazoa; Chordata; Amphibia; Anura; Myobatrachidae
Exons: 3
Source: RefSeq, a predicted model, not a curated record